Morone saxatilis (striped sea-bass) is the source of this 602-nucleotide long non-coding RNA. RefSeq lists it as uncharacterized. Lineage: Eukaryota; Metazoa; Chordata; Actinopteri; Moronidae. The record is from RefSeq and is a predicted model, not a curated record. The transcript has 3 exons.
AUGAAUCCACCUGCAGGAGGGUGUGAAAACUUGACAAAUUAAGGUCAGGAGAUUAAAGCUGAGGUUUACAAGAAGAGGAUUGAAGAGGAGAAGAUCCAGCUACUGUAUAUCGACCAGGCCUUAGUGACACAGCAGCUGCAGGAAACCUGCUCAGUGUACUGCUGUGCUCUGACUGCGAGAGGAGUUAUGAUUAGUCAAGCAAAGAGCCCAGAAGAGGAGCCGAGUAUCUGCUACCAACCUCCCCAAGCCUGCGUGCUCCCAGCAGCCAUGCGUGCAGAGUCCAGGAGAGAGAGCACAUAAACAGAUUUGGACAUCACUUUGAUUGGAUGGAUUCCACCUUUCUAAUCCCAGAGACUGACAUUUAUAUAUCUGAUAAGCCCCUAAAACAAAUGAAAGGGGGAAGCUUCAGUUAAACUUCAAGUUUUCAUGAAUGAUUUUAGAGUCUUGAUUAUGUGUUGAACAACUUUUGGUGUCCAAAAAAGCUAUAAAGUUUAUUUUGUAUACAUCACUGAAGUUAGUUUGUUAGUUUGUUAUUUUGUGUCUUUGUUGAGUCUCUUGAUGACUUAAUGGAUCAGUGUGUAGGAUUUAGUGCCAUUUAGCAG